This 417-nucleotide ribosomal RNA is filed under the name bacterium enrichment culture clone ALO1_GLFRUDD03G3WO9. RNAcentral describes it as "bacterial SSU rRNA". It matches the Rfam family "Bacterial small subunit ribosomal RNA", at positions 9 to 426 of the family's 1533-position model. The record is from RNAcentral.
GAGUUUGAUCGUGGCUCAGAUUGAACGCUGGCGGCAUGCCUUACACAUGCAAGUCGAACGGCAGCACGGGAGCUUGCUCCUGGUGGCGAGUGGCGAACGGGUGAGUAAUGCAUCGGAACGUAUCCUGGAGUGGGGGAUAACGUAGCGAAAGUUACGCUAAUACCGCAUAUUCUGUGAGCAGGAAAGCGGGGGGACCUUCGGGCCUCGCGCUCUUGGAGCGGCCGAUGUCGGAUUAGCUAGUUGGUGAGGUAAAGGCUCACCAAGGCGACGAUCCGUAGCAGGUCUGAGAGGAUGAUCUGCCACACUGGAACUGAGACACGGUCCAGACUCCUAUCGGGAGGCAGCAGUGGGAAUUUGGACAAUGGGGGCAACCCUGAUCCAGCCAUGCCGCGUGAGUGAAGAAGGACCUCGGUUGGU